This 1800-nucleotide long non-coding RNA is filed under the name Homo sapiens (human). RNAcentral describes it as "HSALNT0039105". The record is from RNAcentral. Lineage: Eukaryota; Metazoa; Chordata; Mammalia; Primates; Hominidae.
AAAGAUCUCAUUUUUUUUACACAAUAGGCAGUGAUAAUUUAUCAUCAAAAAAUAGAAUGAAGCUAAUUAAUGUAAGAUGGUUUUUAGAAUAAAACAGAAGGGGUAUUAAUAUAUUUCCACAUUUGUGUCACAAAGAAAAUGUUUAAUAAAUAUUCAUUAAACAUAUGUGUAAAUUCAUUGAUCAAUUAAAUGAAUUUAUUGAUUGCUAAGAACACCCACUACAACUCAUUUGAUUAUUUGAUUAAGGCACAUCAUAUGUCAACUUCACUAAAAUAAUUCCAUAUUAAUUUUUUGAGUUUGAAUGUACAAAGUGUGGGUUGACUGUCUGUUGGGAAAGGCUACAUGCUGUGAGACACCUGCUUAUAUCAUGGGUACAAGACCAGCUUUUGGAAAGCAUCCACGGCACUUUUUCUAUGCUGUUAAUUUUUUUUUUAACUUUAUAGGUAAACCUGGAUUAUAUAAUCCUUACAGGGCCUAAAAGAGAUGCCUCUAUUGUCAAAGAGGUGAAUGACCAUUUGCCAACCUUCACUCAGGAUAUGGCUGGAAUUUGGAGGCAGAUCCAGGAAGGCCAUGAUUUGUAGCUGCUGAAAGUGAAUGUUCAAGACUCUAAAAAUACAGCACUGCCUACUCAUCUCGCCAGUCUGUUAUUCCCUGUCCUGAGCUCUCAGCCGUGAGUUUGGAGUGCAGGGUAUGUAAGAUGUAGAGAAGAGGAAAGGAUUUGGAGAAGGAAGAUGCAGAAAAGCAAAUUCCGGAGAAAAACGUUGCUAUAGAAUAAGCAUGCCAUGAUUAUAGGCAGCUAAAAUUGUUGGAUGUUCUUGUAAAAUCAUUAAAUCCUAAUUAAUAUUGGAUUAGGUUUGCCACAGUAUGAUGCACCCCAAUGCGUUUCUUCUCAGAUCAGAAAUGCCCAGUCCCCUCCUGCUGGUCUCACAGAUGCUUGUCAAGUAUGCCCAGGUUCUUGUUUGGGAUGUGAAUUUGUAAAGCUUCCAACCCACAGACAACAAGUGUUGAAAACUCAUUCCUGAAUGCCGCCUCAGAGAUAAACAAAGUUGUUAGGUUCCUUGAUGAUCUGACAUUCAGUGAUGGGCUAAUGAUUUUCACUCUCUUUGGGAAAAGAAAUGCUGUGGUGAAGAGCUGUGUUGACGGCUGGUCACAGGCUGUUUUUCUGCUUGUGAAUGCUCCAGAAAGCAUCUUUAAGUCAAAUAAUAAUCACUUUUCAAGCUAAAGUUUACCAAGCGCUUUUUUCCGUAAAUUAUCUUAUUUAAUCCUUAGGACAACUCUGAAAGUUUAAGUCCUAAAAUAUGCUCUCUGCAAGCUGGAGAACCAGGAAAGCCCAUGGUAUAGUCUGGUCCAAGUCCAAAAGCCUGAGAGCCUGGGGAGCCAGUGAUUUAACUCCCAUUCUGAGGCCAAAAGCCUCAGAAGAGUGAAGGGGAGGGCCUGCUGGUGUAGGUCCCAGAGUCUGAGGGCCCAAGAACAAGGAGCUCCAACGUCCGAGGGUAGAAAAUGGAUGUCCCAGCUCAAGAAGAGAGAGAGAAUUUGGACUUCCUCCACCUUUUUGUUUUCUAUCUGGGCCUCAAUGAAUUAGAUGAUGCCUACCCUUGCUGGUAAGGAUAGAUAUUCUUUUCUUUUUUUCUUUUCCUUUUUUUUUUUAUUAUUUUUUUUUUUGAGACGGGGUCUUGCUCUGUUCCCCAGACUGGAGUGCAGUGGCGUGAUCUUGGCUCACUGCAAGCUCCACCUCCCGGGUUCACGCCAUUCUCCUGCCUCAGCCUCCUGAGUAGCUGGGACUACAGGCGCCGGUGACCA